CGGUCUUGUACCCGUCCUAGAGCACCGAGAGCAUUCACGGAAUCGUAAACACUACAAAAGUGGCUUUUCUUCAGUUCAUGGUGUGGUGUUCAGGUUAAAACGGAACCUGUUAGACAACCGUCGAAAGUACUACAGAACCUGGGGUUAAAGCGGACGGUUGUGAAGUCUGUACAUCGUAGUGUUCAAUUGACCACCGACAGGUGGCCCGUGCUCGAUGCACCUGGUUCGGGGAGGUCAGUGCUGGUUUACUCCGGCACCGAAGGGGGCAAACGGGGUUUUAGACUCGACGAAAGUGAACGGCCCAUUGACCUGGAGGUGCAGUACCUAAAGGACUCUAAAGAUGCUCUUGGGUGCACCGGUCUAGGGUCGGCAGCCUUAGUCUGUCAAAGGUGGUCGUCUACGGGCAUUUUUGGUCGCGCUGCCUUAGAGGAGGUACCGUCCUAUUCCACGGAAGCAGGGCUUGUCGCACCAAGAAGGUAAGGGUCGGAGGUCAAGGGUAGCGCUUAGUACCGGUUUACGAUGAGGCUGACCGGAGGGGAGGGGGGAGAGGUAGGCAGCUCUUCUAGCAGCGGGUUGUGGAGGGAGACGUGCUAGUUCGCCGUCGAACGCAGGAAGCAGGACGUGACGAGGGCGAGGACGCGGAGGGGGCAAGAACUCGGGUUCUUGAACGGGCCGCUCGAGGUACAAAAAAGACGAGGCCGCGGCCGGUUCCGCCGCGGCCACAGAUGCGAAGGGCUGCGACGCUUCGAGCCGUAGAGGUUGUUCAAGUAGGCCCCGGAGACGUCGCUGGCCGUCUGGCUCGGCGAGCGGAAGCUCACGAUGGCCUCCCGAGACGUCGUCGGGCUCAAGGCCGGCCUGUUCUUCUGCUACUUACGCGAGUGGCAGGUCGACGAGGCCAGGUUCGUCACCUCGAGCGACCUCGUGGACCAGGUUCUAAAGUACCGGAUACCACACGAGGGCCUCUCUGCCUGCACGCGCGCCGAGCAGCGCUGGACGCAGUUCCGCUCCUUCAAGCCGGAGCGGCUGCACCACGAGCCCCAGGAGCUUCCCUUCUUCCCGGGCCGGCGGCGGCACACGAAGUCGAGGCGCGACGUCCGCAUGUUGUUCGACGUGUACAUGGCCUCGUGCCACGACGACAUGCUCGCCUACUUCCGCCGGACGGACAGCCACUUGCGGCUGCGGAUGGCGCGGCACUACCGCCGCAAGCCCCGCGACCCGCUCGGCCUGCGCCACCGGAGCGACAAGUUCGUCAUGUCCAGAGCCUUUACCAUGGGGAGGCUCUGGACGGAGCUCUGCAUGUGGUAGCGGACGCUGCGCGACCCCGCCCGUCCGUCUCGGGACCUGCGCGAGUUCACGGACGCCCUCUACCUCCGCCUGCCGUAGAGCGGCCUGCGGCGCUAGAUGAGGUGCCAGUAGCCGAGAGACCGCCUGCGGGCCCUCUGCCGCAGCAGCCUCCUGCACAUGGUGCUCCGUACCUUCUUCCCCUACGACGCUCUAGGUCUGUACAAGGACUUCCACUAGUAGUACGUUCAGCUCUGGCCCGAUGACCUCCUGUGCGAGCCGCACCGGUUCCUGUACUCCCUCUAGCCGGACUCCCAGUGGCUGACGCAGGAGAGGUGCCAGCAGUUGCCGAAGCACUUCUCCUCUCCGGACUUCGGUCGGUAGUCUCGCAUACUGUUCGACCACCGGUACCCUACGCUCGGGCCCGUCCAGUGGAUGCGCAGCCGCUAGUUGCACAUGACGGCCGACCCCGCCUCGCUGUCCCGCCUCAGGCAGAAGAGCCUCUACUAGCUGGCCCCGAAGCUGUUCACGCACCACCGCAUGCCGUUGUACUAGAGGUACAUGCCCGUCUAGUCCUCCCGCAGCCUGCGGUGGUCCGACGACCGCGACUACUUCGUCUUCCCCACGCUCGGGUUGCACACCCACAUGUUGAGCGAGGACCUGUACGCGCCGUUCGAGCCCCUGAGCUCCGUCCGGCUCUUCUAGACCUUCCUCUACUACGCCGCGUUCCACGUCGGGCUGGCCCACUCGAUGUGCCGGUAGCAGCCGCGCAAGUUGGCCAGCCCCCUCGACCUGGCCACGUACCUGAUGAUGGUCCUCAAGUCCCUCUGCCCUCCCUGCCACCUGUUCUGGGACCGGCCGGAGUACCACCCCCACAAGACGUUCUGGUCGGCCAAGUUGCUGGAGUAGGUCGACGACUCCCUGUACUUCGACGUCCCGUGGUUCGACCUGUCCGCCGACAUGUACUAGCAGGAGUUGUCGGAGGCUCUCCGGCCCGACCUCCAAGUACAGUCCACCGAGGUCCUAAUGAAGUUAAGGCACCUCCUCUUUUGGACUAAAGCGCGAGGUGCUCACGGACUACAAGUAGAAGUCGUAGCCUCGUACUCCUAAACCCACAGACCCCUUCCGUGACGAGACAUUUAAACUUCUUUUUAUCCAUUUAUAAACGAACGGAGGUACGAGGAACUUUGAUGCACGUACGAAGGGACUUAGUACCUCUUUAACUGUGACAUUUACAUAACAUCUUUUACCGUGGUAACAUGGUUUUACUAGACUAAGGUCUUAAGAGCCUAUUCGACAUAUCGACUUAUUAAGACGUAAGUACAGCCUAAGCUACUAUGAGAACAUGUCAACAUAAUAUCGGGGGCACCGCCUACAUUAUUGAACAUAGCUAUGACUUAAAGAGUGUAAACGAGUGUAACCCGAACAAUGCUAGAAGCCUAAAUUAAACGGGGAUCGAAACGUAGGUACCUCCGCCACUGGCCGUCACGAAACGGUCUGACGGUCACGCGUCGAGUUAGGCUGCCGAGACAGACGUACCGUAGGGGUAACUGUACCGGCACGACUGAUCGAAACGACGGAAACAGCAAGAUGAGGU
Molecule: ribosomal RNA, 2878 nt
Filed under: Triticum aestivum (bread wheat)
Lineage: Eukaryota; Viridiplantae; Streptophyta; Magnoliopsida; Poales; Poaceae
Description: partial small subunit ribosomal RNA
Source: RNAcentral